This 505-nucleotide ribosomal RNA is filed under the name uncultured bacterium. Its description in RNAcentral is "bacterial SSU rRNA". It matches the Rfam family "Bacterial small subunit ribosomal RNA", at positions 24 to 518 of the family's 1533-position model. The record is from RNAcentral.
UCAGGAUGAACGCUAGCUACAGGCUUAACACAUGCAAGUCGAGGGGCAGCAUUGAGAUAGCUUGCUAUUCAGAUGGCGACCGGCGCACGGGUGAGUAACGCGUAUCCAACCUUCCCCCCAGUAGGGCAUAGCCCGGCGAAAGUCGGAUUAAUACCCUAUGUUUUCCGAGGAUGGCAUCUGAUUCGGAAGAAAGAUUGAUCGCUGUGGGAUGGGGAUGCGUCUGAUUAGGCAGUAGGCGGGGUAACGGCCCACCUAGCCGACGAUCAGUAGGGGUUCUGAGAGGAAGGUCCCCCACAUUGGAACUGAGACACGGUCCAAACUCCUACGGGAGGCAGCAGUGAGGAAUAUUGGUCAAUGGGCGAGAGCCUGAACCAGCCAAGUAGCGUGCAAGGAUGACGGCCCUAUGGGUUGUAAACUGCUUUUGGUGGGGAAUAAAGUGAGGCACGUGUGCCUUUUUGCAUGUACCCACAGAAUAAGGACCGGCUAAUUCCGUGCCAGCAGCUGC